NNCCAGCUGACGAGUCCCAAACAGGACGAAACACGCGUCCUGGAU
RNAcentral lists this non-coding RNA (45 nucleotides) under Schistosoma margrebowiei. The record is from RNAcentral. Lineage: Eukaryota; Metazoa; Platyhelminthes; Trematoda; Strigeidida; Schistosomatidae.